This 138-nucleotide ribosomal RNA is filed under the name uncultured bacterium. RNAcentral describes it as "partial 16S ribosomal RNA". It matches the Rfam family "Bacterial small subunit ribosomal RNA", at positions 355 to 507 of the family's 1533-position model. The record is from RNAcentral.
UGGGGAAUUUUGUGCAAUGGGCGAAAGCCUGACACAGCGACACCGCGUGAGCGAAGAAGCCCUUUGGGGUGUAAAGCUCUGUCAGCAGGAACGAACAAAAUGACGGUACCUGCAGAGGAAGCAUCGGCUAACUACGUG